Molecule: small nucleolar RNA, 107 nt
Organism: Dendrobium catenatum
Lineage: Eukaryota; Viridiplantae; Streptophyta; Magnoliopsida; Asparagales; Orchidaceae
Source: RefSeq, a predicted model, not a curated record
AAGACGUGGUGAGGGCACUUUUUAAGAAACCCCUUGAAUCUCUCUCAACUCUCACGAAUAGAUUCUCCUUCUAACUAAAUAAAAGUAGUAAUAUCAUUUCUUAGUUU